Molecule: long non-coding RNA, 208 nt
Filed under: Homo sapiens (human)
Lineage: Eukaryota; Metazoa; Chordata; Mammalia; Primates; Hominidae
Description: LNC_000219
Source: RNAcentral
CCAAGGAUGAGACUGUGACUCAAGCAAGGCCAGGCUGAAAGAAACCAACAUACAGAAGAAACAAGAGGCAAAUUGUGUAGAGAGACAAAGCCUUGAUUAUAUCAUUUGGGUCUCAGAAGCCAUGCCUGAUCUCUUCCCAGGUAUGGAGGUCAAAUUCCUUUUGCUUUCUGCUUAAUUGAGUUUGAUUUUGGUUUCUGUUACUUUGAAG